Small nucleolar RNA from Cynoglossus semilaevis (tongue sole), 141 nucleotides. RefSeq annotates it as small nucleolar RNA SNORA79. The transcript has a single exon. Lineage: Eukaryota; Metazoa; Chordata; Actinopteri; Pleuronectiformes; Cynoglossidae. The record is from RefSeq and is a predicted model, not a curated record.
UGACGCCAGUUCCUCUUCCUGUCAGCAGCAGGUCAGGAGGAUUUUAGAGCGUCAAAGAAAAACUGGGUCCAUUUCACCCAGGAAGUUGCAGGCUGUUCUCAGUCAGUCACACACUUCCUGGUUUUGCGGGACCCUACACAA